GCCACACUGGGACUGAGACACGGCCCAGACUCCUACGGGAGGCAGCAGUAGGGAAUCUUCCGCAAUGGACGAAAGUCUGACGGAGCAACGCCGCGUGAGUGAUGAAGGCUUUCGGGUCGUAAAACUCUGUUGUUAGGGAAGAACAAGUGCUAGUUGAAUAAGCUGGCACCUUGACGGUACCUAACCAGAAAGCCACGGCUAACUACGUGCCAGCAGCCGCGGUAA
RNAcentral lists this ribosomal RNA (225 nucleotides) under Xenorhabdus koppenhoeferi. Its description in RNAcentral is "partial 16S ribosomal RNA". It matches the Rfam family "Bacterial small subunit ribosomal RNA", at positions 307 to 523 of the family's 1533-position model. Lineage: Bacteria; Pseudomonadati; Pseudomonadota; Gammaproteobacteria; Enterobacterales; Morganellaceae. The record is from RNAcentral.